Molecule: ribosomal RNA, 453 nt
Filed under: uncultured bacterium
Lineage: Bacteria
Description: bacterial SSU rRNA
Rfam family: Bacterial small subunit ribosomal RNA
Source: RNAcentral
CAGCAGUAGGGAAUCUUCCACAAUGGGCGCAAGCCUGAUGGAGCAACACCGCGUGAGUGAAGAAGGGUUUCGGCUCGUAAAGCUCUGUUGUUUAAAGAAGAACACGUAUGAGAGUAACUGUUCAUACGUUGACGGUAUUUAACCAGAAAGUCACGGCUAACUACGUGCCAGCAGCCGCGGUAAUACGUAGGUGGCAAGCGUUAUCCGGAUUUAUUGGGCGUAAAGAGAGUGCAGGCGGUUUUCUAAGUCUGAUGUGAAAGCCUUCGGCUUAACCGGAGAAGUGCAUCGGAAACUGGAUAACUUGAGUGCAGAAGAGGGUAGUGGAACUCCAUGUGUAGCGGUGGAAUGCGUAGAUAUAUGGAAGAACACCAGUGGCGAAGGCGGCUACCUGGUCUGCAACUGACGCUGAGACUCGAAAGCAUGGGUAGCGAACAGGAUUAGAUACCCUGGUAG